This 340-nucleotide ribosomal RNA is filed under the name uncultured bacterium. RNAcentral describes it as "bacterial SSU rRNA". It matches the Rfam family "Bacterial small subunit ribosomal RNA", at positions 147 to 507 of the family's 1533-position model. The record is from RNAcentral.
CCCUCCGAAAGGAGAGCUAAUACCGGAUACCCCCACGAACCGCAUGGUUUGUGAGGAAAUGGAUUCCGCUUCGGGAGGGCUUCGCGGCCUAUCAGCUAGUUGGUGGGGUAACGGCCCACCAAGGCAUCGACGGGUAGCUGGUCUGAGAGGACGGUCAGCCACACUGGGACUGAGACACGGCCCAGACCCCUACGGGAGGCAGCAGUGGGGAAUCUUGCGCAAUGGGCGAAAGCCUGACGCAGCAACGCCGCGUGGGGAUGAAGGCUCUCGGGUUGUAAACCCCUUUCAGCAGGGACGAAUCAAGACGGUACCUGCAGAAGAAGCCCCGGCUAACUACGUG